GCGUAUACAACCUACCUUUAGCGGGAAUAGCCCAGGGAAACUUGGAUUAAUGCCCCAUAGUAUGGAGGUCUCUCCUGAGAUUUUCAUAAACAUUUAUGGCUAUUAGAUGGGUAUGCGUCCUAUUAGUUAGUUGGUAAGGUAACGGCUUACCAAGGCAGCGAUAGGUAGGGGGUCCUGAGAGGGAGAUCCCCCACACUGGUACUGAGACACGGACCAGACUCCUACGGGAGGCAGCAGUGAGGAAUAUUGGACAAUGGCGAGAGCCUGAUCCAGCCAUGCCGCGUGCAGGAAGACUGCCCU
Molecule: ribosomal RNA, 300 nt
Filed under: uncultured Salegentibacter sp.
Lineage: Bacteria; Pseudomonadati; Bacteroidota; Flavobacteriia; Flavobacteriales; Flavobacteriaceae
Description: bacterial SSU rRNA
Rfam family: Bacterial small subunit ribosomal RNA
Source: RNAcentral